AGUGAACGCUGGCGGUAGGCCUAACACAUGCAAGUCGAACGGCAGCACAGUAAGAGCUUGCUCUUACGGGUGGCGAGUGGCGGACGGGUGAGGAAUACAUCGGAAUCUACUUUUUCGUGGGGGAUAACGUAGGGAAACUUACGCUAAUACCGCAUACGACCUACGGGUGAAAGCAGGGGAUCUUCGGACCUUGCGCGAUUGAAUGAGCCGAUGUCGGAUUAGCUAGUUGGCGGGGUAAAGGCCCACCAAGGCGACGAUCCGUAGCUGGUCUGAGAGGAUGAUCAGCCACACUGGAACUGGGACGCGGUCCAGACUCCUACGGGAGGCAGCAGUGGGGAAUAUUGGACAAAGGGCGCAAGCCUGAUCCAGCCAUACCGCGUGGGUGAAGAAGGCCUUCGGGUUGUAAAGCCCUUUUGUUGGGAGAGAAAAGCAGCAGGUUAAUACCCCGCUGUUCUGACGGUACCCAAAGAAUAAGCACCGGCUAACUUCGUG
RNAcentral lists this ribosomal RNA (492 nucleotides) under uncultured bacterium. Its description in RNAcentral is "partial 16S ribosomal RNA". It matches the Rfam family "Bacterial small subunit ribosomal RNA", at positions 29 to 507 of the family's 1533-position model. The record is from RNAcentral.